AUUGAACGCUGGCGGCAUGCUUUACACAUGCAAGUCGAACGGCAGCGCGGGCUUCGGCCUGGCGGCGAGUGGCGAACGGGUGAGUAAUACAACGGAACGUGCCCAGUAGUGGGGGAUAGCUCGGCGAAAGCCGGAUUAAUACCGCAUACGACCUGAGGGUGAAAGAGGGGGAUCUUCGGAACUCGCGCUAUUGGAGAGGCCGAUGGCAGAUUAGCUAGUUGGUGGGGUAAAGGCCUACCAAGGCGACGAUCUGUAGCUGGUCUGAGAGGACGACCAGCCACACUGGGACUGAGACACGGCCCAGACUCCGACGGGAGGCAGCAGUGGGGAAUUUUGGACAAGGGGCGAAAGCCUGAUCCAGCAAUGCCGCGUGUGUGAUGAAGGCCUUCGGGUUGUAAAGCACUUUUGGCGGGAACGAAAAGGACUGUGCCAAUACCACGGUUCGAGGACGGUACCCGCAGAAUAAGCACCGGCUAACUACGU
RNAcentral lists this ribosomal RNA (483 nucleotides) under uncultured bacterium. RNAcentral's name for it is "partial 16S ribosomal RNA". It matches the Rfam family "Bacterial small subunit ribosomal RNA", at positions 29 to 506 of the family's 1533-position model. The record is from RNAcentral.